GUACAGAUCCCCUAUCAGGCCAUUAUAGUAGUUAACUAAUAAACACAGUGACAGUACAGAUCCCCUAUCAGGCCAUUAUAGUAGUUAACUAAUAACCACAGUAACAUUAUAGAUCCCCAUAUCAGGCCAUUAUAGUAGUUAACUAAUAAACACAGUGACAGUACAGAUCCCCUAUCAGGCCAUUAUAGUAGUUAACUAAUAACCACAGUGACAUUAUAGAUCCCUAUAUCAGGCCAUUAUAGUAGUUAACUAAUAAACACAGUGACAUUAUAGAUCCCCAUAUCAGGCCAUUAUAGUAGUUAACUAAUAAGCACAGUGACAUUAUAGAUCCCCAUAUCAGGCCAUUAUAGUAGUUAACUAAUAAGCACAGUGACAUUAUAGAUCCCCAUAUCAGGUCAUAACUAAUAACCACAGUAACAUUAUAGAUCCCCAUAUCAGGCCAUUAUAGUAGUUAACUAAUAACCACAGUGACAUUAUAGAUCCCCAUAUCAGGCCAUUAUAGUAGUUAACUAAUAAGCACAGUGACAUUAUAGAUCCCCAUAUCAGGUCAUUAUAGUAGUUAACUAAUAACCACAGUAACAUUAUAGAUCCCCAUAUCAGGCCAUUAUAGUAGUUAACUAAUAAACACAGUGACAUUAUAGAUCCCCUAUCAGGCCAUUAUAGUAGUUAACUAAUAAACACAGUGACAUUAUAGAUCCCCAUAUCAGGCCAUUAUAGUAGUUAACUAAUAAACACAGUGACAUUAUAGAUCCCCAUAUCAGGCCAUUAUAGUAGUUAACUAAUAAACACAGUGACAUUAUAGAUCCCCAUAUCAGGCCAUUAUAGUAGUUGAGGCAGAGAGCGUUUAAAUGCAGAGGUGGUUGGAGGCAGGUUUUGAUGAAGUCGUCCUAACCCACUGGGAACACACUGGUUGAAUCAACGUUGAUUACGUCUAUGCCCAGUGGGAAUGACCUUUUAUACAGUACAAUGUUUUCUCAUGUCUCAGUCAGGUGUUUUUGGUGUAUUAUUUAAGAUGAGGACAAAAAUUACAGUAUUGCUUUAAAAGGACAAUUCCUGUGACCAGCUAGUUUGCAUUACUUACGAUAGAAAGAGCAUUUCCAGUUGCAUUUUAAUCUAGCCAAGCAAUUUACUAAUUAACAUAUCAAGUUCUGCAUUUUGUCGGCUUGCAUCCCAAAUGGCACUCUAUUCCCUAUAUAGUGCACUACUUCUGACUAGAGCCCACAGCACAAUAUAGGGAAUAGGACUCUGGUCUAACGUAGUGCACUAUAUAGGGAAUAGGACUCUGGUCUAACGUAGUGCACUAUAUAGGGAAUAGGACUCUGGUCUAAAGUAGUGCACUAUAUAGGGAAU
Long non-coding RNA from Oncorhynchus tshawytscha (Chinook salmon), 1350 nucleotides. NCBI's taxonomy places the organism in Eukaryota, Metazoa, Chordata, Actinopteri, Salmoniformes, Salmonidae. The record is from Ensembl.